AGCGAACGUUAGCGGCGGGCUUAACACAUGCAAGUCGAACGAGAAAGGGUCCUUCGGGGCCCAAGUAAAGUGGCGCACGGGUGAGUAACACGUGGGUAAUCUGCCCUUCGGCGGGGGACAACCACUGGAAACGGUGGCUAAUACCGCAUACAACCGGAGCCUUCUCGGAGGCUACGGAAAAAGGCUUCGGCCACCGAAGGAGGAGCCCGCGGCCCAUCAGCUUGUUGGUGAGGUAAUGGCUCACCAAGGCUAAGACGGGUAGCUGGUCUGAGAGGAUGAUCAGCCACACUGGGACUGAGACACGGCCCAGACUCCUACGGGAGGCUG
Molecule: ribosomal RNA, 327 nt
Filed under: uncultured Pseudomonadota bacterium
Lineage: Bacteria; Pseudomonadati; Pseudomonadota
Description: bacterial SSU rRNA
Rfam family: Bacterial small subunit ribosomal RNA
Source: RNAcentral